RNAcentral lists this ribosomal RNA (766 nucleotides) under uncultured marine group I thaumarchaeote. RNAcentral describes it as "bacterial SSU rRNA". It matches the Rfam family "Archaeal small subunit ribosomal RNA", at positions 1 to 774 of the family's 1478-position model. The record is from RNAcentral. Lineage: Archaea; Thermoproteati; Nitrososphaerota.
UUCUGGUUGAUCCUGCCAGACCUGACUGCUAUCGGAUUGAUACUAAGCCAUGCGAGUCAUUGUAGCAAUACAAGGCAGACGGCUCAGUAACGCGUAGUCAACCUAACCUAUGGACGGGAAUAACCUCGGGAAACUGAGAAUAAUGCCCGAUAGAACACUAUACCUGGAAUGGUUUGUGUUCCAAAUGAUUUAUCGCCGUAGGAUGGGACUGCGGCCUAUCAGUUUGUUGGUGAGGUAAUGGCCCACCAAGACUAUUACAGGUACGGGCUCUGAGAGGAGUAGCCCGGAGAUGGGUACUGAGACACGGACCCAGGCCCUAUGGGGCGCAGCAGGCGAGAAAACUUUGCAAUGUGCGAAAGCACGACAAGGUUAAUCCGAGUGGUUUCUGCUAAAGGAACCUUUUGUUAGUCCUAGAAACACUAACGAAUAAGGGGUGGGCAAGUUCUGGUGUCAGCCGCCGCGGUAAAACCAGCACCUCAAGUGGUCAGGAUGAUUAUUGGGCCUAAAGCAUCCGUAGCCGGCUCUGUAAGUUUUCGGUUAAAUCUGUACGCUCAACGUACAGGCUGCCGGGAAUACUGCAGAGCUAGGGAGUGGGAGAGGUAGACGGUACUCGGUAGGAAGGGGUAAAAUCCUUUGAUCUAUUGAUGACCACCUGUGGCGAAGGCGGUCUACCAGAACACGUCCGACGGUGAGGGAUGAAAGCUGGGGGAGCAAACCGGAUUAGAUACCCGGGUAGUCCCAGCUGUAAACUAUGCAAACUCAGUGA